AUUGAACGCUGGCGGAAUGCUUUACACAUGCAAGUCGAACGGCAGCACGGGGGCAGCCCUGGUGGCGAGUGGCGAACGGGUGAGUAAUACAUCGGAACGUGCCCGGUCGUGGGGGAUAACGUAGCGAAAGUUACGCUAAUACCGCAUACGAUCUGAGGAUGAAAGCGGGGGACCUUCGGGCCUCGCGCGAUCGGAGCGGCCGAUGUCAGAUUAGGUAGUUGGUGGGGUAAAGGCCUACCAAGCCGACGAUCUGUAGCUGGUCUGAGAGGACGACCAGCCACACUGGGACUGAGACACGGCCCAGACUCCUACGGGAGGCAGCAGUGGGGAAUUUUGGACAACGGGCGCAAGCCUGAUCCAGCCAUUCCGCGUGCAGGACGAAGGCCUUCGGGUUGUAAACUGCUUUUGUACGGAACGAAAAGGCUCUGGCUAAUACCUGGGGCUCAUGACGGUACCGUAAGAAUAAGCACCGGCUAACUACGUG
This 484-nucleotide ribosomal RNA is filed under the name uncultured bacterium. Its description in RNAcentral is "partial 16S ribosomal RNA". It matches the Rfam family "Bacterial small subunit ribosomal RNA", at positions 30 to 507 of the family's 1533-position model. The record is from RNAcentral.